RNAcentral lists this ribosomal RNA (451 nucleotides) under uncultured soil bacterium. RNAcentral describes it as "bacterial SSU rRNA". It matches the Rfam family "Bacterial small subunit ribosomal RNA", at positions 26 to 518 of the family's 1533-position model. The record is from RNAcentral.
AGAACGAACGCUGGCGGCAUGCCUAACACAUGCAAGUCGAACGAGACCUUCGGGUCUAGUGGCGCACGGGUGCGUAACGCGUGGGAAUCUGCCCUUAGGUUCGGAAUAACAGUUAGAAAUGACUGCUAAUACCGGAUAAUGUCUUCGGACCAAAGAUUUAUCGCCAAAGGAUGAGCCCGCGUAAGAUUAGCUAGUUGGUGGGGUAAAAAGCCUACCAAGGCGACGAUCUUUAGCUGGUCUGAGAGGAUGAUCAGCCACACUGGGACUGAGACACGGCCCAGACUCCUACGGGAGGCAGCAGUGGGGAAUAUUGGACAAUGGGCGAAAGCCUGAUCCAAGCAAAUGCCGCGUGAGUGAUGAAAGGCCUUAGGGUUGUAAAGCUCUUUUACCCGGGAUGAUAAUGACAGUACCGGAGAAUAAAGCCCCGACUAAACUCCGCGCCAGCAGCCGC